UGGGGAAUCUUGCGCAAUGGGCGAAAGCCUGACGCAGCCAUGCCGCGUGAAUGAUGAAGGUCUUAGGAUUGUAAAGUUCUUUCGCUCGUGACGAUGAUGACGGUAACGAGAGAAGAAGCCCCGGCUAACUUCGUGCCAGCAGCCGCGGUAAUACGAAGGGGGCUAGCGUUGUUCGGAUUUACUGGGCGUAAAGCGCGUGUAGGCGGGUCGUUAAGUUGGGGGUGAAAUCCCGAGGCUCAACCUCGGAACUGCCUUCAAAACUGGCGACCUGGACCUAAGUAGAGGCAAGUGGAAUUGCGAGUGUAGAGGUGAAAUUCGUAGAUAUUCGCAGGAACACCAGUGGCGAAGGCGACUUGCUGGACUUAUGGUGACGCUGAGACGCGAAAGCGUGGGGGGCAAACAGGAUUAGAUACCCAUGUAGUCCCUGAGCGGGCUGGCAAGGCGCAU
RNAcentral lists this ribosomal RNA (447 nucleotides) under uncultured bacterium. Its description in RNAcentral is "bacterial SSU rRNA". It matches the Rfam family "Bacterial small subunit ribosomal RNA", at positions 355 to 825 of the family's 1533-position model. The record is from RNAcentral.